AAAAAGGCACAGCCGCACAGGAGAGAGGUGGCAGUGGCACGAGAGCUUACAUUCUUUUGGCCCUUCAUUGACGCGAAAACUUGUUUCUUUCAGUCAGUAGCUUGAUGCUGGAAAGAACCUACAGUGAAACACGUCCUCAGAAAGAAGCUAAAAAGGAGGCGGCGACAGAGAAAGUGCAAGCAGCAACAAUAGAUGUGCGCAUGAAUUAUGGAACUGAGAACUGACAACUUGUGCACAACAAAAACAGCCAAGGGCUCAAAGAUGACUGCUUUCGCUACCGGAAAUAAUGGCAAAUCCAGAUCACCCAGGUAACACUUAACAAACGCUGAAACACAGUACUACUCCUUCCGUCCCAUAUUACAUGACUCAACUUUAUCCAAAUAUGAAUGUAUGUAUGCCUAAAAAACGUUUAGAUACAUGUAAUAGAAAAUCACUUAAUAUUAAUAUGAAACAUAUGAAACGGAGGGAGUAUGAUCCAACAUAAACAAUAUGGCAAAAAUAACGGUUCAGCAUUGGACACCAUACCACGCAUUUGGGAUAACAAGUUCUAGUUUUCUGCUCCUAUCCGAGACAAAAGCAUGUCUGCUCUCUCCUACAGAAGCAACUUCAUAGCACUUACAGAACGGAUCUGUAUUUUUAAGCAAAGCCAUAGAAAGUACCAUAAGUGAAACUACAUAUGUUAUGAUAACAGUUAACACAGCGAGAGUAAGAACAGACAUCUAUGGCUCAACGGUAGUCACUUGCUGCCAUUCACCGUCCACAGCUUCUUUCCACAGGGUCACAUUGUUGUUGCCAUCAGAGACUGCCAGUAUGUUCCCAGUCAGCGACCACGACAGCCGCCAAACAGGGG
Molecule: long non-coding RNA, 850 nt
Filed under: Brachypodium distachyon (stiff brome)
Lineage: Eukaryota; Viridiplantae; Streptophyta; Magnoliopsida; Poales; Poaceae
Description: long non-coding RNA (BDIS_LNC001639)
Source: RNAcentral